CGUCACAGCACUUUCCAGACUAACAGUAGUAAAGGCCCUCAGUAUCAAGCAGGACUAAGGCGUGUUCUGGCUUCUUGGGGUGAGGCACACACCACAUCCAGAUUCCUUUGGUGUGAGAUUUCACUGUGGAGCCAAGAGAGAAGCCUGUAAAGGAGAGAUGGGAUAAGAAGGGCUGGAGGUUUAAUAGCAGCGUUAUAGACUCCAUGUCCCUGAGCUGAGGUACUUCAGAGCUGGAGAGGAAGCAAUAGGAGUUCUUACCUGUGCUUUUCUCUUCAGUCCAGAUUAUGUCAUAUACUACAGAAAUCAUUCAAUUUUUCACCAGAGAAUAAGGUGAGUUCCUUGAAGUUGUUGAAUAAUUCAGUUUCUUUCAAGUUAUGUUUUCUUUUUGUGUUAGUCUUAUAGAAGGAGUGCUUUAAGCACACAGCUCAAGUUAAAAAAAAAGUCUAAAUGGGAUAACUGCUUUUGGCAAUGACCAGGAGAGGAAAAUCUGGAAUGGAUGGUAGAGGAGAGAGAUGAUGAAUAUCAAUUAUGGCCUUGAGACAAGUUGCAGGAGUGAAGUCUGGGGCGUGUGCUGUUAAAUCCUGUGUGUUAGGUCCUUUAUAAAUUGCAGCUGGUCACUAACAUGAAGAAUUGACAAUGGAUUGAGUUUAAUAUAGGGCACAGUGAUCAGAGUGGUGAAGGGGUGAA
Molecule: long non-coding RNA, 687 nt
Organism: Symphalangus syndactylus (siamang)
Lineage: Eukaryota; Metazoa; Chordata; Mammalia; Primates; Hylobatidae
Source: RefSeq, a predicted model, not a curated record